This 718-nucleotide ribosomal RNA is filed under the name uncultured Lachnospiraceae bacterium. RNAcentral describes it as "bacterial SSU rRNA". It matches the Rfam family "Bacterial small subunit ribosomal RNA", at positions 58 to 774 of the family's 1533-position model. The record is from RNAcentral. Lineage: Bacteria; Bacillati; Bacillota; Clostridia; Lachnospirales; Lachnospiraceae.
CAAGUCGAGCGAAGCACUUUACUUUGAGAUCUUCGGAAGGAAAAGUUUUGUGACUGAGCGGCGGACGGGUGAGUAACGCGUGGGUAACCUGCCCCAUACAGGGGGAUAACAGUUAGAAAUGACUGCUAAUACCGCAUAAGACCACAGCACCGCAUGGUGCAGGGGUAAAAACUCCGGUGGUAUGGGAUGGACCCGCGUCUGAUUAGGUAGUUGGUGAGGUAACGGCCCACCAAGCCGACGAUCAGUAGCCGACCUGAGAGGGUGACCGGCCACAUUGGGACUGAGACACGGCCCAAACUCCUACGGGAGGCAGCAGUGGGGAAUAUUGCACAAUGGGGGAAACCCUGAUGCAGCGACGCCGCGUGAGCGAAGAAGUAUUUCGGUAUGUAAAGCUCUAUCAGCAGGGAAGAAACUGACGGUACCUGACUAAGAAGCACCGGCUAAAUACGUGCCAGCAGCCGCGGUAAUACGUAUGGUGCAAGCGUUAUCCGGAUUUACUGGGUGUAAAGGGAGCGUAGACGGAUGGGCAAGUCUGAAGUGAAAGCCCGGGGCUCAACCCCGGGACUGCUUUGGAAACUGUUCAUCUGGAGUGCUGGAGAGGUAAGUGGAAUUCCUAGUGUAGCGGUGAAAUGCGUAGAUAUUAGGAGGAACACCAGUGGCGAAGGCGGCUUACUGGACAGUAACUGACGUUGAGGCUCGAAAGCGUGGGGAGCAAACA